This 74-nucleotide transfer RNA is filed under the name Chryseobacterium arachidis. RNAcentral's name for it is "tRNA_Val_CAC". It matches the Rfam family "tRNA". From Rfam's summary of the family: Transfer RNA (tRNA) molecules are approximately 80 nucleotides in length. Lineage: Bacteria; Pseudomonadati; Bacteroidota; Flavobacteriia; Flavobacteriales; Weeksellaceae. The record is from RNAcentral.
GAGUACAUAGUUCUAAGUGGAAGAACACUGACCUCACUGAUCAGAGGUUGCAGGUUCGACUCCUGCUGUACUCC